UGAUUUUAUUGUUUCUGUGUUUUUGUUUUCAAUUUAAUUCCUAAGUUUGCAAUGCAAUGAUUUUAUUGUUUCUGUUUUUUUUUUCUUUCUCAUUUUUGAAACGUUGCUAACAGCUUCACUUUGUCCGAUAAAUGAAAGUUGUAUCACAUGAUCUGGUGAAAUACACUUUAUUGGUAUAAAAAUCAAUUGCAAACUACAAUGAUCAAACAUGGAAAAAAAAAAAAUCAAUCAAUCAAGCAACAAACAAACUUAAUCAAAUGGUCAAACUUGUUGCAUAUUAUAAUAUCAUAGAUGGUGAUAAUGCUUGACUUCAUGACAUUGAAAACUAUGAAAAAAAGGAUACACUAUAUGUUUUUUAUUUUCUACAUACUUGUUUUACUACUCAGGCUAACUGAUUGAAUAUUGGCAUGGAAAAGCAAAACAUUGUACAAGUUUUAGCAGGAUAUUCACUGACCUUUUUUUUUUUUUUUUUUUUU
Non-coding RNA from Biomphalaria pfeifferi, 476 nucleotides. NCBI's taxonomy places the organism in Eukaryota, Metazoa, Mollusca, Gastropoda, Planorbidae. The record is from the annotation of a GenBank genome assembly.